This 327-nucleotide ribosomal RNA is filed under the name uncultured archaeon. RNAcentral's name for it is "bacterial SSU rRNA". It matches the Rfam family "Archaeal small subunit ribosomal RNA", at positions 321 to 648 of the family's 1478-position model. The record is from RNAcentral.
CCCUACGGGGCGCAGCAGGCGCGAAAACUUUACAAUGCUGGAAACAGCGAUAAGGGGACCUCGAGUGCCAGGUUACAAAUCUGGCUGUCGUGGUGCCUAAAAAGCAUUGCAUAGCAAGGGCCGGGCAAGACCGGUGCCAGCCGCCGCGGUAACACCGGCGGCUCGAGUGGUAACCGUUAUUAUUGGGUCUAAAGGGUCUGUAGCCGGCCGGAUAAGUCUCUUGGGAAAUCUGGCAGCUUAACUGUCAGGCUUUCAGGAGAUACUGUCUGGCUCGAGGCCGGGAGAGGUGAGAGGUACUUCAGGGGUAGGGGUGAAAUCCUGUAAUCC